GCCGACUCAAAUUCAAAGCAUUUUGUAUAUAUAACUGUUUUCUUUUUUUGCUUUUCUGCUGCAUGUCUUUUUCGUGGGGGGUGAUCCUCUGCAGAUCCCCCCAUUUGCGGACCCGCCAUGUGGAGGAGGCAUUUGGGGGGCUCAGAAGGAAAUUAGCUCGGCUUCCAUACCUAUAAGGACUGCCUAACUUUUAAACUCCCGGCACUCAAAGAUGUGGACACACACACGUACAGGAAAUACAGCCAGACCAGAGCCUUUGCAGUCCGCAGCUGACCGGAAGACGUUGCCUUUCAUUCAUUCAUUCUGCCCGCCUCUGUGGACUCCUUUACUAGGCGACCAGCCCUGAAACAGAAGUUGGACAUUUUUUAAAGGUUCUUGCGCUCGGCAAGGGGAGCAGAUAGAUGCUCAGGAGCGAAAGACGCAGAGAAUUGGAUCUGGCGCCUCCUAACGCAGCCCGCACAGGAGCGAAGGGGAGUGUGACGAUCCCCCUGAUGCGGCUGAGAUGUUCUGAAAUGAAGACGUUGGCUCUCAUCCCCAGCCUGAACGGCGGCUGUGGCUAAUUAUUAGGCACUGGGUAGGAACACAGCCAAGAACGAUUGCAGGAUGGGUCCUUCCAGGACACUGACGUCUCAGCUUGCGCACUGUGAGUCCCUGGACGAGUUACUCCACCUCUCUGAACCUCCUCCUCACUUGCAUAAUGGGAAAAAUAAUGGACAUAGGAAGAUGAAACAAGACCUUGGAGACCACAUUUACCAUCUUAUUU
This 763-nucleotide long non-coding RNA is filed under the name Homo sapiens (human). RNAcentral's name for it is "long non-coding RNA NONHSAT162892.1". The record is from RNAcentral. Lineage: Eukaryota; Metazoa; Chordata; Mammalia; Primates; Hominidae.